This 492-nucleotide ribosomal RNA is filed under the name uncultured bacterium. Its description in RNAcentral is "partial 16S ribosomal RNA". It matches the Rfam family "Bacterial small subunit ribosomal RNA", at positions 29 to 507 of the family's 1533-position model. The record is from RNAcentral.
AGUGAACGCUGGCGGUAGGCCUAACACAUGCAAGUCGAACGGCAGCACAGUAAGAGCUUGCUCUUACGGGUGGCGAGUGGCGGACGGGUGAGGAAUACAUCGGAAUCUACUUUUUCGUGGGGGAUAACGUAGGGAAACUUACGCUAAUACCGCAUACGACCUACGGGUGAAAGCAGGGGAUCUUCGGACCUUGCGCGAUUGAAUGAGCCGAUGUCGGAUUAGCUAGUUGGCGGGGUAAAGGCCCACCAAGGCGACGAUCCGUAGCUGGUCUGAGAGGAUGAUCAGCCAAACUGGAAGUGAAAAAAGGUCCAGACUCCUACGGGAGGCAGCAGUGGGGAAUAUUGGACAAUGGGCGCAAGCCUGAUCCAGCCAUACCGCGUGGGUGAAGAAGGCCUUCGGGUUGUAAAGCCCUUUUGUUGGGAAAGAAAAGCAGCGGGUUAAUACCCCGCUGUUCUGACGGUACCCAAAGAAUAAGCACCGGCUAACUUAGUG